This 501-nucleotide ribosomal RNA is filed under the name uncultured bacterium. RNAcentral's name for it is "partial 16S ribosomal RNA". It matches the Rfam family "Bacterial small subunit ribosomal RNA", at positions 899 to 1397 of the family's 1533-position model. The record is from RNAcentral.
ACUCAAAUGAAUUGACGGGGGCCCGCACAAGCGGUGGAGCAUGUGGUUCAAUUCGAUGCAACGCGAAGAACCUUACCCGGGUUUGAACUGCAACUGAAAUACUCAGAGAUGGGUAUGGCUAGCAAUAGACAUUUGCAGAGGUGCUGCAUGGCUGUCGUCAGCUCGUGUCGUGAGAUGUUGGGUUAAGUCCCGCAACGAGCGCAACCCUUGCCUCUAGUUGCUCGGCCGUAAGGUCAGCACUCUAGAUGGGACUGCCGGUGAUAAACCGGAGGAAGGUGGGGAUGACGUCAAGUCAUCAUGGCCUUUAUGUCCGGGGCUACACACGUGCUACAAUGGACGGUACAAAGGGUCGCCAAACCGCAAGGUGGAGCCAAUCCCGAUAAAACCGCCCUCAGUUCGGAUUGCAGUCUGCAACUCGACUGCAUGAAGGUGGAAUCGCUAGUAAUCGCGGAUCAGCAUGCCGCGGUGAAUACGUUUCCGGGCCUUGUACACACCGCCCGU